RNAcentral lists this ribosomal RNA (497 nucleotides) under uncultured bacterium. RNAcentral describes it as "partial 16S ribosomal RNA". It matches the Rfam family "Bacterial small subunit ribosomal RNA", at positions 28 to 507 of the family's 1533-position model. The record is from RNAcentral.
GAUGAACGCUGGCGGCGUGCCUAAUACAUGCAAGUCGAGCGAACAGACGAGGAGCUUGCUCCUCUGACGUUAGCGGCGGACGGGUGAGUAACACGUGGAUAACCUACCUAUAAGACUGGGAUAACUUCGGGAAACCGGAGCUAAUACUGGAUAAUAUAUUGAACCGCAUGGUUCAAUAGUGAAAGACGGUUUUGCUGUCACUUAUAGAUGGAUCCGCGCCGCAUUAGCUAGUUGGUAAGGUAACGGCUUACCAAGGCAACGAUGCGUAGCCGACCUGAGAGGGUGAUCGGCCACACUGGAAAGGAGACACGGUCCAGACUACUACGGGAGGCAGCAGUAGGGAAUAUUCCGCAAAGGGCGAAAGCCUGAAGGAGCAAAGGCGCGUGAGUGAUGAAGGUCUGCGGAGCGUAAAACUCUGUUAUUAGGGAAGAACAAAUGUGUAAGUAACGAUGCACGUCUUGACGGUACCUAAGCAGAAAGCCACGGCUAACUACGUG